This 301-nucleotide ribosomal RNA is filed under the name uncultured bacterium. RNAcentral describes it as "partial 16S ribosomal RNA". It matches the Rfam family "Bacterial small subunit ribosomal RNA", at positions 509 to 807 of the family's 1533-position model. The record is from RNAcentral.
CAGCCGCCGCGGGAAUACGAAGGGUGCAAGCGUUAAUCGGAAUUACUGGGCGUAAAGCGUGCGUAGGCGGUUUGUUAAGUCUGUUGUGAAAUCCCCGGGCUCAACCUGGGAAUGGCAAUGGAUACUGGCAAGCUAGAGUGUGUCAGAGGAUGGUGGAAUUCCCGGUGUAGCGGUGAAAUACGUAGAGAUCGGGAGGAACAUCAGUGGCGAAGGCGGCCAUCUGGGACAACACUGACGCUGAGGCACGAAAGCGUGGGGAGCAAACAGGAUUAGAUACCCCAGUAGUCCCUGUCUCUUAUAC